RNAcentral lists this ribosomal RNA (2192 nucleotides) under Salmonella enterica subsp. enterica serovar Corvallis. RNAcentral describes it as "partial 23S ribosomal RNA". It matches the Rfam family "Bacterial large subunit ribosomal RNA", at positions 711 to 2802 of the family's 2925-position model. The record is from RNAcentral. Lineage: Bacteria; Pseudomonadati; Pseudomonadota; Gammaproteobacteria; Enterobacterales; Enterobacteriaceae.
AGACCCGAAACCCGGUGAUCUAGCCAUGGGCAGGUUGAAGGUUGGGUAACACUAACUGGAGGACCGAACCGACUAAUGUUGAAAAAUUAGCGGAUGACCUGUGGCUGGGGGUGAAAGGCCAAUCAAACCGGGAGAUAGCUGGUUCUCCCCGAAAGCUAUUUAGGUAGCGCCUCGUGAAUUCAUCUCCGGGGGUAGAGCACUGUUUCGGCUAGGGGGCCAUCCCGGCUUACCAACCCGAUGCAAACUGCGAAUACCGGAGAAUGUUAUCACGGGAGACACACGGCGGGUGCUAACGUCCGUCGUGAAGAGGGAAACAACCCAGACCGCCAGCUAAGGUCCCAAAGUCAUGGUUAAGUGGGAAACGAUGUGGGAAGGCCCAGACAGCCAGGAUGUUGGCUUAGAAGCAGCCAUCAUUUAAAGAAAGCGUAAUAGCUCACUGGUCGAGUCGGCCUGCGCGGAAGAUGUAACGGGGCUAAACCAUGCACCGAAGCUGCGGCAGCGAACGUAUCACUUAAAGCGAUUCAGCGGGUUACGAUUGACGGAGCGAAGCGACGUCAAAGCGUAUACAAAGUCGAGUCGGUUUAAGGAUACGUUCGUUGGGUAGGGGAGCGUUCUGUAAGCCUGUGAAGGUGGCCUGUGAGGGUUGCUGGAGGUAUCAGAAGUGCGAAUGCUGACAUAAGUAACGAUAAAGCGGGUGAAAAGCCCGCUCGCCGGAAGACCAAGGGUUCCUGUCCAACGUUAAUCGGGGCAGGGUGAGUCGACCCCUAAGGCGAGGCCGAAAGGCGUAGUCGAUGGGAAACGGGUUAAUAUUCCCGUACUUGGUGUUACUGCGAAGGGGGGACGGAGAAGGCUAUGUUGGCCGGGCGACGGUUGUCCCGGUUUAAGCGUGUAGGUGUGUGUUCCAGGUAAAUCCGGUUCACUUUAACACUGAGGCGUGACGACGAGGCACUACGGUGCUGAAGCAACAAAUGCCCUGCUUCCAGGAAAAGCCUCUAAGCAUCAGGUAACAUCAAAUCGUACCCCAAACCGACACAGGUGGUCAGGUAGAGAAUACCAAGGCGCUUGAGAGAACUCGGGUGAAGGAACUAGGCAAAAUGGUGCCGUAACUUCGGGAGAAGGCACGCUGACACGUAGGUGAAGUGAUUUACUCACGGAGCUGAAGUCAGUCGAAGAUACCAGCUGGCUGCAACUGUUUAUUAAAAACACAGCACUGUGCAAACACGAAAGUGGACGUAUACGGUGUGACGCCUGCCCGGUGCCGGAAGGUUAAUUGAUGGGGUCAGCGCAAGCGAAGCUCCUGAUCGAAGCCCCGGUAAACGGCGGCCGUAACUAUAACGGUCCUAAGGUAGCGAAAUUCCUUGUCGGGUAAGUUCCGACCUGCACGAAUGGCGUAAUGAUGGCCAGGCUGUCUCCACCCGAGACUCAGUGAAAUUGAACUCGCUGUGAAGAUGCAGUGUACCCGCGGCAAGACGGAAAGACCCCGUGAACCUUUACUAUAGCUUGACACUGAACAUUGAGCCUUGAUGUGUAGGAUAGGUGGGAGGCUUUGAAGUGUGGACGCCAGUCUGCAUGGAGCCGACCUUGAAAUACCACCCUUUAAUGUUUGAUGUUCUAACGUGGACCCGUUACCCGGGUUGCGGACAGUGUCUGGUGGGUAGUUUGACUGGGGCGGUCUCCUCCUAAAGAGUAACGGAGGAGCACGAAGGUUGGCUAAUCCUGGUCGGACAUCAGGAGGUUAGUGCAAUGGCAUAAGCCAGCUUGACUGCGAGCGUGACGGCGCGAGCAGGUGCGAAAGCAGGUCAUAGUGAUCCGGUGGUUCUGAAUGGAAGGGCCAUCGCUCAACGGAUAAAAGGUACUCCGGGGAUAACAGGCUGAUACCGCCCAAGAGUUCAUAUCGACGGCGGUGUUUGGCACCUCGAUGUCGGCUCAUCACAUCCUGGGGCUGAAGUAGGUCCCAAGGGUAUGGCUGUUCGCCAUUUAAAGUGGUACGCGAGCUGGGUUUAGAACGUCGUGAGACAGUUCGGUCCCUAUCUGCCGUGGGCGCUGGAGAACUGAGGGGGGCUGCUCCUAGUACGAGAGGACCGGAGUGGACGCAUCACUGGUGUUCGGGUUGUCAUGCCAAUGGCACUGCCCGGUAGCUAAAUGCGGAAGAGAUAAGUGCUGAAAGCAUCUAAGCACGAAACUUGCCCCGA